Molecule: long non-coding RNA, 3041 nt
Organism: Alligator sinensis (Chinese alligator)
Lineage: Eukaryota; Metazoa; Chordata; Crocodylia; Alligatoridae
Exons: 3
Source: RefSeq, a predicted model, not a curated record
GUGGGAGAUAAAGUUGUUUUUUUUCCUGUGUCCAAGUUGGGGCUAUGCAAAUCAAUGUACAGAAAGUUGUUGCUGAAGAAGAUUUUAAUUAUCCUGGUUGUUGUUUGAGACAUGUGAGCACUAAAAAUGCACCUCAUUUUACCAGCAUACAAAUUUUACCUCUCAUCUUAAUUUUGUAGGUGAUCUUGAAAACUAGAACAAUUUAAGCAGGACUGUCCAAGUAAAGGCUGCCAGGUGGGCAUGUUAUAUUUUCGGGUGUGCCCCAUCACUGCACGACUGCGGAGGGGGCUGCUCAUUGAGGACAAGCGUGGCAGUGCUGUGGUUUGGCUUGAACUAGACUGGAGGCAGGUUUGUCUUCUAAACCCGCCGGGGUUGUUGCUUCCCCCAACGUCCAUUCAUCUGUGUAAAUCCAGGAAAAGAAGUUUUGUGACUGGGAAAUCGUAGCAUCUCAAAGAGUUAGACUUGCUGUGUUUACAAUGAUUAACAGUAGCACUUCAGUAUCUGAUGUUACCUUUUUUAACCACUGUUGCAAGUAGGUUAGUGGGUCAUGAUAGCUGUCCCGAAAAUAUACAAGGUUUAUACUCUACACUGAUACCUCGUGUAGCACCAUACCAGAUGAGAUCUAGGAAUAUACCAUGGACGAUUUGUUGGAUUAACAGUAAAUAGAGUCCUACAGGGCUAAAUGGAAAGCUGCUCAGCUUAAGCCAAAGCCAUGAAGCAUUAAGACUGAAUGGGGGUUAUUUUGAGAUCAUCUGAUUUCCUACUAGAAGGUGCUGUGAGAUAUCAUCGCCUUGAAAACCUUCAAAGAGAAUGGUCUGAAAGGUUUUUUUUUUGGCGGUGGCAUGUUCCAGAACUUGGAUCAGUUUUACAUUUUCAUUUAGCAUGAGAGAGUUUUUUUUUUUUUAAAUUUGUGUGUCUGUAUAAAAAUAAACUUCCAUCGGAGGACUUCAAUGUGCUUUCAGAUCUAGGUAUAUGUAUGAACACUGCUGUUUGCACCAAUGAACUGAAAGUAAGGGGAGGGAGAAACUUUAGUCGAGGAUAAUUGGGUCUUGUCAAGGUACCAUCGCAGAUGGGGCAGAUGAUCCCAAAGACGGGCGCAGAGUAAAGUGGAGGGGUUUUGGUUUAAUUGCUUCGCAAGCAGGAAGAGCUAAGGCAUCUCUGCCUUGUGCCUUUUGAGCAUGAUCCUCUGGUUUAGCAAGAACUCUCCAGUGCGUUGCGAAUGAAACGAAACCGAAGACACUGUCCCAUUGCUAACGGGCAGAGAAGGCCGAGCCGGGACGUGCAGGGGCCGCGUGUCUCGCUCACGGCAGCAAAGGCAGCUGCUAGAAACCUCAGGCGAAAUCCCAGAGCCAUUAAAGUCGGUAGGAAUUUUACCACUGCUUUCAGCAGGGCCGCACUUUCACCCCCUCAAAUGAACACAGCUUUUAAACAGAAGUGUAACAUUAAUCAGGCGUUUAAGACCCACUCUUUUAAUCAAAGCCCUUAGUCGUGUGUUUAAGCACUUGCUGGACUGGGGUCAGAGUAAGUAUGGUAUUUUUCAGAGACGGUGCAUUUCUGAUGGUGACAAUACCUAUCUGUUACGUGUGAAAACUACAUGAGCUCGGUGGGAAAAUGAACACGGUGAAGGUUUGUUUUAGGGUUUCCAGGCCACAAUCAGGUGUUUUAUGCCUGGAGAAUCUCAGGGCAUUUUUACACGUGGUUCUAAUGCAGCGCCUGGUGCUUUUAAUUAGCAAGCCAGACUAAUUAAAAGUACCCGGCACUGCGUAUGGAGCAGGUAUAUCAGUGGUGCAGUGCGCAUCCGUGCUGAGAAAAUGGCAGUGGUAUGCUUUGAACUAAAGCACAUAAACGUGUUUUAGUUCAAAGUGCACCGCUGCCAUUUUCUCAGCGCUGAUGCACGUGAUGCGUAAGGCUGCCGGCGUGCUUCAGUUUACACGCUCAAACAGACUUGAUUAAUCAUGUGUGCUCUGACACGCUGGAUUUUCAGCACAUCAGAGCAGACUCCCCGCAUGUGUGUAAGUGCCUGUAUUGACUAUAACAGGAUGGAUUGGCCUCUAUAGUGAAGAUUAAGGGAAAGUACAGUAGCAAGUCCUGUCCAUUUAUUUAUGGCAGUGCGAUCUCCAAGAUGAUGUUUUCUCCAUAUAACCAUAUUUCUUUAGAAACAGCUUUCCUUUAAAAACCCAUUAGAAGCUGAAUAAGUAGGUUUGAUCCACCUGUGUCUUAGAAAUAUAGACAGCCUGCUGAGCCUUGUAAAGGAACAGCAGUCAAAGGUAUAGCCUGGUAAUUUUGAGAAGUAUAUCCAGAGUUCAAAACAUUCAGCAGAAGUUUAAACAAAUUGGGGAUAAAAAUGAUCUACUAUCCCUUUUUUUGCCAGUGCAAGAUUAUCCUAUGCUGUAUGUAUUAGAAGCCUUUGUUUAAUCCGGUUUUAAUCCAGCACUGGGUUUCUUCAACUCUAUUUUCUGUGGUCUGGUCUCCAAGACAGGAGACAGGGCUGGGUGGUACCUCAGAGGCUGACUGGUUCAAAAAGGCAUGAGCUUUCAUGGGCAACAACCUACUCUGACGUAGGAGUUCUCACUUGAUAUCAAGACUCAGUUUGUAUUUCCAUGACUACAUCCCAUUUCACCUUGUACCAAAAGAAAUAAUGCCUUGCCUUUGUCUUUGAAUAUGGCUUUCAAGAGUAAUAAUCAUAGUCGCCCCAGUUCCCACAUUUAGUGUAGACUUAAUGAAGUUGUAUCUAAGCCCCGAUCCUGCAGAUGCCCUUGCACGCAAGCUUCUACACACAUUGUCUCAUUGAGCUCUUGGAUAGGGCUAAAUUGUGUUACCUAAUGGCUCUUGUGAAAGAUGCAUAUAUUUUGGUUUGACACAAGUGCUGGUGAGUCUAGAAAUGCCCCAAGCCAAAGGGAGGAGGAAUGCAUUGAAUCUCAGUUCCUAGCACUGUAGCAGAGUGCUUUAACUCUCAAUCCUGAACUUUUAAAAUGAAAAGCUGUUGUUGAUUCCUAUUCAGUUUGUAAAAUCAUUACUCCUUCCUCCCCAAUAAAUCUAUA